AUUAACACCCAGCAAUGAGGAGAGGAGUGAGGCCUGGGGAAGACAGCCACCAUCAAGUGCACAAAGCUUGAAGGAGGACGUUUGUGGGAAGUAGACAUUUGUGAAUGUGGAUUUAGAAGAUUUUUCCCUGUGAUGGGCUGAGUCAUGGGUGAGAGCUGGAGAAAACAGAGCAUCACAGGCAGCCCAGGGGCUGAGCAGGUCCUCCUACCUGAUCCAUCCCUGUCUGCAAACUCUCCUGUCACAAGUGAGUGGCUCACAGCCUCCAGAAAACACCAGUCAGUUACACUGUGAUGUGCAGUCUGGCCAGGGCUCAGUGGAGAAGCCCACACUCGUUUAUCCAUCACUGAAUGUUGGUUGUGCCUCAGGAAAUAGUCUGGUUGCCAGAUACAGACUGGCCAAGAAAAUGGGCGUGAUUAGUCCUCUUUUGGUUGGUAUAAUGUGAAGAUGGUUAUGUGAGCUAAUGUGUGCUGAGCAAACGGAGGAUUUGGAUUCUUUUGCUUUGUCGGUCAAUCCUCUUCUCCCAUCAAAUCAAUGUGGAAAUCCACAGAGUCCCAGUGGCCUUCUUCGGUAAAGCCCUU
This 578-nucleotide small RNA is filed under the name Pongo abelii (Sumatran orangutan). Its description in RNAcentral is "processed transcript". Lineage: Eukaryota; Metazoa; Chordata; Mammalia; Primates; Hominidae. The record is from RNAcentral.